Molecule: long non-coding RNA, 6018 nt
Organism: Neofelis nebulosa (Clouded leopard)
Lineage: Eukaryota; Metazoa; Chordata; Mammalia; Carnivora; Felidae
Exons: 2
Source: RefSeq, a predicted model, not a curated record
GCAAUAAAAAACAACGCAGUCUUGCCAUUUGCAACAAUGUGGAUGGAGCUAGAGUGUAUUACGCUAAGCAAAAUAAGUCAGAGAAAGACAAGUAUCAUAUGAUUUCACUCAUAUGUGGAAUUUAAGAUGCAAAACAGGUGAACCUAAGGGAGGGAAGCAAAAGUAAUAUAAAAAACAGAGAGAGAGAGAGAGAGAGAGAGAGAGAGACAAACCAUAAGAGACUCUUAAAUACAGAGAACAAACUGAGGGUUGCCUGUGGGGUGGUGGGCGGGGGGAAGGGCUAACGGGGUAAGGGGCAUUAAGGAAGACAUUUGUUGGGAUGAGCAGUGGGUAUUACAUGUAAGUGAUGAAUCACUAAAUUCUAUUGCUGAAAUUAUUAUUACACUAUACGUUAACUAACUGGGAUUUAAAUUAAAAACAAAAAAAGAAGAAGACAGCUGAGUACUGACUCAUAGAGCCCAGGGGCAGUCAUCAGCACAUGGGUGGUGCCCACAGUUCUAAGACUGGGUGAGAUUGUCCAGAAAGAAAAGGGUCCAAGAGCACUAAAACGCAGAGAUUGGACCAAGAAAAGAUGAGCUAGCAAAAAUCAUUGAGUAGGAGCUCUCACUGAAGUUGGAGAACUGGACAUGUGGUACCACAGAAGCCAAGAGAAGAAUCACUUUGACUGCCGGCCAGCCCCAGACACACGGUGGACACUCAGAGAGAGUUAGUUUCCCCUUUAAUGGAAAUAGUAUCAUUCACUUAUUUUAAGUCUCUCAAAAGAUAGAACAUUACCUUUCAUGCGGGCAUAAAAUCAAUUUGCAAUGGCAUUUUUUUCCUCUUUCAUACGUCUUUCAAGGUUGAAAUAUAGAGCCCCGAAGAGUCGUGGGUUGGUCACCCCUCUUCAAAAGCAUACAUUUACCAGCCUGCAAAUCCACCAAGUGAAGAUUUCCCUUUUUCUGCCUUAAGUUCACAUGAUUUAAUUUGCCCGAGUAACCUGCUGUCAUAGGUUUUCACGGAGUCCUGAUAGCUAACAGAGUAAUUAAUGCUUUAGGCUUUUAGGAACUGUUUCAGGUUUUUAUUAAUCACUGUUGUGAUUGCACAUAUGAAUUAUGAAGGAGUUAUUUUGGUGGUUGGGUUUCCCCUUCAGAAAAAUUUCCAUAUUUGUUCAUUAUGAACUGAUAGCCUGGAGAAGAAGAAUAAAAAUGGGGAAUGUUGCCUGGGUCCUAUGCAGACAUUUCAAAUUAUCCAGAGUAAGGAUUACUUUACAGUAAACAGAAAGAGUGUGAGUUGUUUGAAGUUGGUAGUUAAACGUUUUCUCUUUCCCCCACCAUAAAUUAAUUAGAGAUUCUCUGUGACUGCCCCCUGAAUAUAUGGAUUUUGUAAACUGUUUAAAGACGUGUUAACAUCAGAAGGAAUUUUGUGGGUUUUGUGUGGUUUGUCUAUGAUUCCCGCGUUUGGAGGAAUCCCUCCUAGGACCUUCAUGAUUCGUGUGCUGUUCGUUUGGGAGUUUUCCAGGAGACAGAGGUAUCCAGGUAACUGGAAAGAAACAGAAACCCAUCCUUCUUAUUCCUUCUAAUUUUAUUUCGGGGCAACAUCAUGGAGUUUCCAAAAUUAUAUGAUUGUAUGUGAGAUCAGUGUAUGAAAAUGGAAUGCGAUGGCCCUUUUCAGGUGCUUAGGACCCAGUUCUACAGUGUAAAAAACAAAACACAGGAACUGUUUUCUUGGAAGCUCCUUCCCCUAAGGCAUCCCCUCGCCCCAGACUUUUGCAGGGCUCAGUGUGUAAAUUCUAGUGGCUGCUUGUGAGUCCUGCUCGCCCCUUUCCUUGGUGUGGGGGUAAAUGUAGAUUUCCCCUGUGUUUACAGGAAAUUUUACUCCCUGCCUUUUACUCUGACAAGAGAAGACUGGCUGCUUUCCUGGGAACAGGGCUCUUUUCAGUGAUUAGAGUGAUUUUCUGUGAUUCUCCCAUACUUGGAAAAGAUCUUUUGCGACUACAAAUAAAAGACAGAGUAGUUAUAUCACUGUAUCGAUGGAGGCAGGCCACUCUGCGAGUCUCCAGUGCCUUGACUAUUAAGUGAAAAUACCUGUUAUUGCCGUAACUGCCAUUUUUACUCUUCCUGAGUGGCCGGUUGGGGUGAGCGGUGGGAGAAGGAGCUGGGUUGGGCUGGAGGAAGUCCAUUUGCAAAGUCAACAGCGGAAGUAUUCAGGCAGAGCCUCAGACAUCUGAUCUGAAUGCUGUAUAGAUAAGGGGGAGAUCCGAUACUCAGCAGAUGGGCCAUCCUGCUAAUUCUAAGAGUCACUUGCUGGGACAGACUAGGCGCGUCUAAUCUGAUGGUAUUUUCAUCUUAAUUUACUUGCAGCCUGCUUUUUGUAGGUAACGGCAUUUCUUUCUUUCUUUUUUUUUUUUUAAUUUUUUUUACGUUUAUUUAUUUUUGAGACAGAGAGAGACAGAGCACGAACGGGGGAGGGUCAGAGAGAGGGAGACACAGAAUCUGAAACAGGCUCCAGGCUCUGAGCUGUCAGCCCAGAGCCCGACGCGGGGCUCGAACUCACGGACCGCGAGAUCAUGACCUGAGCCGAAGUCGGACGCUUAACCGACUGAGCCACCCGGGCGCCCCGGUAACGGCAUUUCUGACAAAGGUGAUAAAUUUGCUAAAGCUUAACAUUCAAGAUUCUUUGCUCACAUGAGUAUUAUAUAAUUAAAUAUACAUUUGGGCUCAAAGUCCCAGUCUAACAAAUUCCCUUCACAGGAGUACCAUUUGAGUGCCCAUUCUCGCAUUAAUUUUAUUUGACAUUAUAUCAACAUUACAUUCCUAGCCUAAAAGGAGAAAUCACAUGCGAAUGCAGGGGUGUAUUUUAAAGUACAGUAUUUAGUUUGGCCGUGAAAAAAGCAGCCAGCUAAGUCGCUAAAGCAGAAUUUUCUAAAUUAGUUCAUAUAAAGUGGCCCAAAUGCACUAAAUUUAAAUUGUUGUAACAAAGCCCUAAAUGCUGGUGCGUGUGGCUGUUUUGAUACUUCUAACAUUUUUCCUCUGGGGCUCCCAGAAUUGACUACGAUGGUGUCUUGGGAAAAUUAACUUGGGAGACUUCAGCGGUGAAAGAAAGCGACGGAAAAUAAGUCACUGUGGUGUCGCGAGUGGAAUUCGCUUACGUGAGACCCCACGCGAAAGUCAAAGCCCUGAUUCUUCUCACAUCUGCACUAGCUUCAGAGCGAGGAAGUUUAUCAGUUAAAGGUGGAAGCAUCCAGUUCCCAGUUCUGCUGAAUAAAGAGUUUCACAAACACUGCCGUUGAGUUGGGGGGUAGUUGGGAGCCCCAUGCAAAAGCAUUAUUUCUCUGACCAGCUGCUCAUGUGGCCACGGCAUUGCCUAGCGCUAACAGAAGUGGACAAAAGCAUGAUUUGGGGUUAUUAGCCCUAAAUAAGAAAUGGUUGUGGGGUAUCAUCGAUAUCCUCUGACUUGGGGUCUCGGCUGAAUUUUGAAUCAGUGGCUGCCACCAGGGAGGAAAGGAGCUUAUCCCUAAGCAGCAUCCAAGGGACCAAACGUGGCAAUUUCUUUUGGUUCCAAAAUGCUGACUUUUACAUACUUUGUGGUCUGUGCAUUCUCGAGCUGUGCUUUGUGCUUGGCUAUCACGAUGAAUUGCAGACGGGGCUUUUGUUUUCAGAGAAUCCACCAGCAUUGGAGAAGACCGGCCUUUGGCAUAAGUGGGGAGCGGAUAGUUUGUCUCCCCUGUUUGUCUUAAUUCCUGCAUUCGUCCGUACUCCCCAUGGACCUCCAACCCUGCCAGAGUUUACUGGUCCCAAACAGACACUUCAGUCCCCUCCAUGCUGUCUUCAGCGUGUUUCUGAAGUGUCACGUGGCUGGUGACCAGCAGACCUGUGAACCUGUCCAGAUGGCAGGGUCCCUCAAGGUCAUAACUAGAGUGAUUUCAACUGUGACCUCUGGAGUCAUUAUCCCCUGGGGGUCCUUUUGGUGCGCUGGCUACUUAAUGCCAUCUCUGAAAGGUAGGAAUAUUUCAGGGAAGAGAGGAGGAGGACGGUUGUGGUUUAUGAAGCAGAAACUUUUGAGUCCGUAUUGGCCGUCAUCGUCAUCAGGGCAGACAGCUUUGUUCUCGGCGCUUUCCUUUGGCUUUGAGGAUUUUGUGAUUUUCUUACCUGAUCUCUUCUGCUUAAGCUUCUGACUAGGCCUGUGGGGUAUGUUUGCAUCCAGGGGUAAGCUCUGGUGAUGCCGAUGUGGUGUUUUGUUUCAGACUUCUGGUAUAGCCUUUCCAACCGCCUGCAAGGUACUCUGUGCAGAACUAAGAGAUUUGUAGUUUUCUGGCUGUCGAGGCCAUUCUGGAUUUCAUAGGGAAGGGAUUUUGAGCGCUGGAAGGGCCCCAGAGGUCUGGGCCACCUUAGCACAGGUAGAUAAGCCUAGAGAGGUGAGGAGCCAGGUCUCUGGACACUUACCCAAUCUUCUCUUCUCUUUCUGGCCGUUGCCUGUAGUCUGAUCGGAGAAGCUUCUCACUGUGACGCCCAUGUAGUGGGAUGCAAAGUGCUAGAAAUCCCUCUGCUGCGAGCUGAUAACAGCUAUGUUCCGGCACCCUAAAAUGGGAGGGCACUUUGAGACUGUGGAGUUGAAUCCCAAGGCCCUAGGCUCGGAGUCGAUGGGCUGGGACUGGCACCUAGCUCCCUUGAACUCUCCAUUCAGUUAUCCGCCCCCUCCCUGACGUGCUGGGGGUGGAGGGUGAUUAGAGGCACCCAUUGGCACAUUCUCUCUCUGCUCUCUUCCUGCCAGCUACCGAGUGGAUCCCUGCCAGGCCUUUAUCACCCCCAAAGAAGACCUAAAAUCUUAUUAGGGAAGUAUUUACCACAGAACUAAUCUGUCCUUAUUGAGGCCAUGCCUGUGUUUUAAACUCAGUUAAAUGAACGACCAUUCCCUUAGAAAAUAUCCAUUUCUUUGGAACUCUUGCUGCUGGCACCAGCUGCCCAUGGGUGUCUUAGUCUAAACAAAAUACACGGACUGGGGGCUUAUAAACAACAGCAAUUUGUUCCUUGCAGCCUGGAGGUAGAGGUCUGAGAUCACGGUGCCAGCACGGUUGGGUGGAGGGCUUCUUCCAGGUCACAGACUUCUUGUUGAAUCCUUCUCUGGAGGAGGGGGCUAGGGAGUACAAAGGGGUCUGUCUUAUUUAUAAGAGUACUAGUGACCGAACCCCCUCCCAAAGACCCUGCCACUCCUAACACCGUCACGCUGGGCAUUACCAUCCCAACGUGUGAAUUUGGGGGGGACACAAACAUUCAGACCGCAGCAAGGGGGUGACACUUUUCAGCCAGGAAGUGGUGAGGUUCUGCUCUGGAGUGGACUGAAUGAUUGGGGGGGGGGGGGGCUGCUGAUCAGAGAGUGGCUCAGAUCAAUAAUAACUGUAGACAGUGACCUUGGAGAUGAUUCCCUCUGCCCCAAAUCCCCUUAAAAAUGACUCCUCUUUGCUCCCGAAGACCGUCUUUCUACAGAUGCCCCCUCUGCCCUUAACCUUCAGCCCUGGGAUGGAGAACCAUUUCUGAACGGGUUGCCAGUUCUCACCCCCCAGCACUUACGUUGCCUGGCUUGUCACUUGGCCUGAGAAUAGGAGCCCAGGUCAGUCAAACCGGGAAGUGCAUCCCAGGGACGCUCAGAGGUACUAGGCGACCCACCCCCUUCACCCUUUUCCUCCGUAACAGAAGGUCGGAAGGGGUGAACUCCUCCAACCAGAGCCCUUCUCCAGGGUCUAUAAACAGAAACAGGACCACCUUCAUGGUCAGAAAAACGGAAGUGGUCUCUCUCUGCCUUCUGUCUGUCGGGAGCCUUCAGGAAUCUCUCUGCACCGAACAGGGCUCAGGGACCCUCAAGCAAUUAGAACUCAUUUGCAGGGCACAGAAGGCCACUGGGCCCUCAAAUCUUUUUCAGCUCCCCCUUCCUAUCUGACUUCUCUACAGACAGGUGCAUGCUUCUGGCUGCUGCAGGGUCCAGCUGGCAGGAGGACUCUAACGUGUCAUCACAGAAAUAAAAUUUGUCACCUUGUGUUCCCAA